GAGCCCAAAGAAGCCAUCACUUCCUUAUUUCUUUCAGGUAUUUUGGUUCCAACAGUGCAAAGUCAACCAACACUUGGAGCUCCUGCAUGCCUCUGAGGCAUCUCAGAGCCUGGCAUCCUGGCCAUGACUGAGAAUAUCCAGAGAAGGAUACUCUAGGAUCACCAUGUGAGUUCUUAGCUUGUAUUCCCACCACCAUAUCUUCAAGCCACCAUCAUGGACUCUAUCCCUCUGGAACUUUCAGUCCACCAGCAAACACCAAACAUGAAUCUGCAACUACAGACCAGUCCCCUGGGCAGACACCACACAGGAAUCAGCAGCUAUAGUCCACUCCACCUAGCAGACACCACACAUGAACCAGCAAGAAGAAACCAGAAGAAACCGAGAGGCUCUCCAACAUUGUAAUGGCAAGAAGCUGCUGGAACAUCACAAGAAGU
Mastomys coucha (southern multimammate mouse) is the source of this 434-nucleotide long non-coding RNA. RefSeq lists it as uncharacterized. The record is from RefSeq and is a predicted model, not a curated record. NCBI's taxonomy places the organism in Eukaryota, Metazoa, Chordata, Mammalia, Rodentia, Muridae. The transcript is spliced from 3 exons.